This is a long non-coding RNA of Equus quagga, 1830 nucleotides long. RefSeq lists it as uncharacterized. The transcript is spliced from 3 exons. NCBI's taxonomy places the organism in Eukaryota, Metazoa, Chordata, Mammalia, Perissodactyla, Equidae. The record is from RefSeq and is a predicted model, not a curated record.
UGAAAAUCUGGCAGUGCAAAAACGGUCUCUGUAGGAAGCCCAUGCUGCCAUCCAAGCAGCUCCACUGCUCAGCCCUCUCAGAAUAUCUGGAAGAUUGGAAUACUUACUGAAGUCAGAAACACAUCUCUCCAGGAGAAUCACAGUGGAAGCCCACAGGAUUUUGGAGCAAGGCCAUGACCCCCUUCAGGAAGAUUACUAUUUUCCUUUGGAGAAACAGCUCCAAUUUGCUAUUGGCGUGGCCUCCAAGGAUUUUGGCUGUGCUCUACUGCACGUCUGAAGAAGCAGAGAUGCAGGGACUUGCUUAAAGUGGGAGGGCCCAGCUUCGUGCUCAGAGUCCCAAGUACUAAAGGAAUCACAACCUGCCUGUCUCUCCAGGAAACCUUUGUCUUCGGAAGUAUCUCCCGCUCUCACCCCUGGCCUACAGAGGGCAAGUACUGUUCAAGAAUGCUAAUACUCCUCCCAUCAGUGUUUUGGUUUUUUUGUGUGAAGUCGAGUGAGUAGAUCAGGUAUUAUAAAUCCACUCAAAUGUUCCUGUUUCCUUAAGUCUUUGGAUUCCCUUCUCUAUAUUACAUCAAGGAAUGUGUGGCAUCUGAACUUCACAAGCACAGGCCACCACUGAGACUCAGUUUCAGACAAAAAGCAAGAAGUUUAAACCUCUUCCAGUUGUUUAGUCUAGCUAAUGGAAUCCAGAAUUUUUGGUAAGGGCACCUAUAUGACGAAUUUGACCUGAUCUAAAAUUGUAUUCUUCUCUUCCCAACACUCUCAAAAUUCUUUCCCAUAAUCUUACGAUGCUUUUGGUGUGUAAGCCCUUUCUUCCCAGGUUUGAUUUUGAUUUCAGGGCGUGCUAGAAUCUGACUUUAGCUAUGGGUCUAGAGUCAGUGAACAGAGGCAGGGGUGGGCCAGGAAGACACUCCCUUGCCAGAUGAUCAUUCAGUGAACUCCUUAACAAUGUCGUUGAACAAGACAGGGCCAGCCUCAUCAGAAUGGGAGGAAGGGCUAUUUUCGUUGGCCCAGGAAGCUCUGAGAGUUUUGGGGCUUUUAGAUUCUUGGGGUUAUCUGACACCUCCAAAAUACCUCCAUUCCUGUACUCAGGGGAAGAGCCACUUUUUCCAAUAAAUGUCCUGAAAGACUCGUGAGACUGAAUUCAAUCUACUUCGUAACUCAUCAGUCUCCAGGCUCCGUCUCUGCCCCUGAUUUUCAGCUUCAUUAGCCCUGUGCCUGCGUGAGAUAAAAAAGAGUACUCUAUUUUAGAGAAGUCAUAGAAACAUCCUCAUUCACUGAUCAUGCUUUGAAGUGAGAAUUUAAGUCCCUAAGCCUGUGAUUUUUUUCUUUAAAUUUUAUCAUGCAAUUAGACAGAACUACUCACCUCGUAGCCUCUACAUUCCUCCCUCCUCUGUCCACCAGAGCCUUGCUUUCACUGGGCAUUUCUUCCAUGUGACUGUAGGUGAUAAUUUUGGUGUUUUGCCACUGGUGCCAUGGACUCCUUCCAGCCCAACUCACGAUAUAAUCAAAAUGCAGUGUGAUAUUUACCUUCUACCAGCUCCUUAAACUUCAUUCAGGGUUGGAAGAAGAGAAGAUGAUCUGCCUCUACACCUGGAUGAAACUUCUGACAGCUUCUAUGGCUUCUCUUUCCCUCCCUGCUUCCCCUCUACCUGCCUUCUGUCAUUUUCUUUCUCUCUGAGGGCUGAAGGUAGGAUAGAGAUUAGAGAGAAAGCGGUAAGUGAGUUAUGAUGUCGUUGGACAUUCUUCCUGGCUGCUUUACUCUGACUAUGUGACAUCCAGGCUUUUUUCUUUGGCCCUGCCAGAAAUUCUAAUUAAUACCAAGUAAUA